GGGAUCUGGUGUAUGGUGCACACCUGCCUUUCCUGAGUUGAUUCGUUUCAAAAGUUGGAAGCAGGAAGACGGGGUUCGAUUCCCCGAGGUCCCA
This is a non-coding RNA of Mycena filopes, 94 nucleotides long. Lineage: Eukaryota; Fungi; Basidiomycota; Agaricomycetes; Agaricales; Mycenaceae. The record is from the annotation of a GenBank genome assembly.